RNAcentral lists this ribosomal RNA (465 nucleotides) under Vreelandella stevensii. RNAcentral describes it as "partial 16S ribosomal RNA". It matches the Rfam family "Bacterial small subunit ribosomal RNA", at positions 338 to 795 of the family's 1533-position model. The record is from RNAcentral. Lineage: Bacteria; Pseudomonadati; Pseudomonadota; Gammaproteobacteria; Oceanospirillales; Halomonadaceae.
CCUACGGGUGGCUGCAGUGGGGAAUAUUGGACAAUGGGGGGAACCCUGAUCCAGCCAUGCCGCGUGUGUGAAGAAGGCCCUCGGGUUGUAAAGCACUUUCAGUGAGGAAGAACGCCUGGUGGUUAAUACCCAUCAGGAAAGACAUCACUCACAGAAGAAGCACCGGCUAACUCCGUGCCAGCAGCCGCGGUAAUACGGAGGGUGCGAGCGUUAAUCGGAAUUACUGGGCGUAAAGCGCGCGUAGGUGGCUUGAUAAGCCGGUUGUGAAAGCCCCGGGCUCAACCUGGGAACGGCAUCCGGAACUGUCAGGCUAGAGUGCAGGAGAGGAAGGUAGAAUUCCCGGUGUAGCGGUGAAAUGCGUAGAGAUCGGGAGGAAUACCAGUGGCGAAGGCGGCCUUCUGGACUGACACUGACACUGAGGUGCGAAAGCGUGGGUAGCAAACAGGAUUAGAUACCCUAGUAGUC